AGGGAUAUAGUUAAAUUUAUAUAACAUAGGCUUGUCAGGCCUUUAUUACCUUAGGGUUGUCUCUA
This 65-nucleotide transfer RNA is filed under the name Euciroa cf. queenslandica STW-2017. RNAcentral's name for it is "tRNA-Asp". The record is from RNAcentral. Lineage: Eukaryota; Metazoa; Mollusca; Bivalvia; Euciroidae.